This 497-nucleotide ribosomal RNA is filed under the name uncultured bacterium. Its description in RNAcentral is "partial 16S ribosomal RNA". It matches the Rfam family "Bacterial small subunit ribosomal RNA", at positions 28 to 507 of the family's 1533-position model. The record is from RNAcentral.
GACGAACGCUGGCGGCGUGCCUAAUACAUGCAAGUAGAACGCUGAAGCGAGGAGCUUGCUCUUCUUGGAUGAGUUGCGAACGGGUGAGUAACGCGUAGGUAACCUGCCUUGUAGCGGGGGAUAACUAUUGGAAACGAUAGCUAAUACCGCAUAACAAUGGAUGACACAUGUCAUUUAUUUGAAAGGGGCAAUUGCUCCACUACAAGAUGGACCUGCGUUGUAUUAGCUAGUAGGUGAGGUAAUGGCUCACCUAGGCGACGAUACAUAGCCGACCUGAGAGGGUGGUCGGCCAAACUGGGACUGAGACACGGCUCAGACUCCUACGGGAGGCAGCAGUAGGGAAUCUUCGGCAAUGGGGGCAACCCUGACCGAGCAACGCCGCGUGAGGGAAGAAGGUUUUCGGAUCGUAAAGCUCUGUUGUAAGUCAAGAACGGGUGUGAGAGUGGAAAGUUCACACUGUGACGGUAGCUAACCAGAAAGGGACGGCUAACUACGUG